This 497-nucleotide ribosomal RNA is filed under the name uncultured bacterium. RNAcentral's name for it is "partial 16S ribosomal RNA". It matches the Rfam family "Bacterial small subunit ribosomal RNA", at positions 28 to 507 of the family's 1533-position model. The record is from RNAcentral.
GAUGGACGCUGGCGGCGUGCCUAAUACAUGCAAGUCGAGCGAACGGACGAGAAGCUUGCUUCUCUGAUGUUAGCGGCGGGCGGGUGAGUAACACGUGGAUAACCUACCUAUAAGACUGGGAUAACUUCGGGAAACCGGAGCUAAUACCGGAUAAUAUUUUGAACCGCAUGGUUCAAAAGUGAAAGACGGUCUUGCUGUCACUUAUAGAUGGAUCCGCGCUGCAUUAGCUAGUUGGUAAGGUAACGGCUUACCAAGGCAACGAUGCAUAGCCGACCUGAGAGGGUGAUCGGCCGCACUGGAACUGAGACACGGUCCAGACUCCUACGGGAGGCAGCAGUAGGGAAUCUUCCGCAAUGGGCGAAAGCCUGACGGAGCAACGCCGCGUGAGUGAUGAAGGUCUUCGGAUCGUAAAACUCUGUUAUUAGGGAAGAACAUAUGUGUAAGUAACUGUGCACAUCUUGACGGUACCUAAUCAGAAAGCCACGGCUAACUACGUG